GCGAGGAUGGCGGAAUUGGUAGACGCACCAGACUUAGGAUCUGGCGGGGAAACCUGUGAGAGUUCGAGUCUCUCUCUUCGCACCA
This 85-nucleotide transfer RNA is filed under the name Desulforhopalus sp. Its description in RNAcentral is "tRNA-Leu". It matches the Rfam family "tRNA". Rfam says of the family: Transfer RNA (tRNA) molecules are approximately 80 nucleotides in length. Their secondary structure includes four short double-helical elements and three loops (D, anti-codon, and T loops). The record is from RNAcentral. Lineage: Bacteria; Pseudomonadati; Thermodesulfobacteriota; Desulfobulbia; Desulfobulbales; Desulfocapsaceae.